CCUGCCUCCCGGCCCACCAGUCGGGGCCUCCCUCCUGGAGCUCCAGGGUCUCGCCGCAUGGUGGAGCCGCCGCGCCUGGCUCACGGUCCCGCGCGCGCUCCUGGGCCCGCACGCCUGAGUCACCUUUGUCUCCCGCUGGGAUCAAGGAUGGAGUCUGUGGCCCCUAUCCCACUGGGCACUCCUUAGUUUCCUCGCCCUCUCUUAAAAAUCCGAGGAACUAAGGUGAGGAAGGAGGUGCGAGCGCCCCUUUAUUUUUAUUUUUCGUGCCACUGAGGAUCGAACCCAGGGUCUUCCCACAGAGCCACGUCCUCAGCCCGCUAAAGAAUUUUAAAUUUUGAGACUGGGUCCGCCCCGUGGCCCACACUGAGCUCGAACUUUCGAUCCUCCCGCCUCAGCUUCCGAGGGAGCUAGGAUUGCAGGCGUGUGCCACCGCGCAGGGCUGAGCCCCCAGGCCCCCUCAGUCAGACUCUUGGAGUCCGCCGUCCUGGCCCCAUCUAGGGCUCAGUUCUUUGAUCCUUUGAAGGAUGUCUUGACUUUCUUGGAAAAAACAGUCUGCAUCGAAAGGCAGAGGCUCAAUUCGGUGCUCAUAGACAAAGAGGGUCAAGACGGAAACGAAUCAAACAGUAUUGGGAAAAGGCAACCGCCUCUGAAGUCUCGCAGGGUGAGAAACUGACUCGAUCGUCGUUAUCGUUAAAUCCUAGGAAACAGUUGGCAGCUCUCAAGUCAGAUGACGUCUGAUGACCUUACCCAUAUCCCGUGAGGCCAUGCACUUGGCCAGUUCUGAGAUAGAGUCCUGCUAAGUUGCACUUGCUGAGCUGGAACUUGUUAGCCUCCUGCCUCAGCCUCCCAGAGUGCUAGGAAUAUGGGUAUUCGCCAGCAGGCCUGGCCCCAGUUCUCAUUACAAGCUUGCAUAUUUGCAUAAACGAAGAUUCCCUUUGCAAGUUCAGUGCCUUAAAAUUAAAAAAAAUUUUUUUUUUGAGGAUUAGGUUCUAAUCGGAUACAAGAAACCUGGAAAAACCGUUUAGUGAAAAUGGCACAUAGCCUGUCCUUCAGUUACAAAUCCCAUUUUUUCUGGUGGCGGGGAUGGUGGGCCGUGUGUGUUGAGAGAGGAGAGUGCAAGUUCGUGCAGCUGGGACUUCUCCCUUAUAUCCAGACCAUGUCUUGAAAUCGGAAAAGGCCACAGCUACAGAAAUACAUCGGCCUUCAUGAGACCAGUGGUUUUUCAGUGCAGUCACUGUGACUCAGUCUGUUGAAGCCUCUGCAACCACACAGAGACAGAAAGCUGCAGGGUCUCAGUAUAAAACUACAGACCGAGUGGAAUCAGUAGUGCAGAAAGAAUGAGUGUCCUCGAGUAGAUUGUCUACAGACAGACACUGGAGUGCAAAAUGUUCUUCUGCCCUUUCUAUGGUGUCUCACUGGGCUACAUUUUCCUGAUAUGCUGGCAACGCUGGGUUAGGUGAUCAUCUAUCUGAUGUGAAAUUCUUCUGCAAAUCCCACACCCUUCAAGACAUCUUCCCAUUCUAUGUAUACUGGACAAUAAGUCUUGAUUUCUGUCUCUAUUAGUUGUGGGGUUUUUUCCCAGUAUAUCCAAACAAAGUUUUCUAAUUCCAGCUAAAUAAAAUGGGAAAUAAGGGCAGAAAACAAAAACAAAAAAUUUUAAUUCAUCUCUAAGAGUAAGGUAAAUGUGCAUUAUACUAUGUGUGGGGAUUCAGUUGUUAUCAGUACAAAUUUUGCCAAUGACUCAGAUCAUUAUCCAAGAGAAUAAAACUGUUAGGAGUUAUAAAAGAAUGUCAAGAUCUUUUAAGUUAAUGUUUUUCCUGAAUGAGAUACGUUAAUCACUAAUCUGUAUAAAAUUUGAAUGAUUGCAUAUUUUAAAUUUUAAUUAUUAUGUAUUUUUAGUGAGUGUUAGAAAGAUGUAACUAGUGCACAGAACCUGAUUUUUCCCCGGCAGUUUUAGUUAGGAUGAAGCAAAAGUAGGUGGACGCUGAGACUGGUAACCUCUCUAUUUUCCUUGCCUUUCCCUAGCCCGUAAGUCAUGUUCAUAUACUUCAUAUAUGACUGGUUUUCCUGAAGAAGCUCAGUGUGAAAGACUAUAUUCUGUAUGAUUUCAUUUAUCUAAAAUUUGAGAAAAGGCAAAACUACUGUGUGAGGAAAUCAGUGAUCACCAGAGGCUGAGUUUAGGGGAAGCAGAUUGACUGGAAAUGGGUAUGAGGAAAUGUUUUGGGGUGAUGGAAAUGUAAUUAUACAAGCAUAAACGUAUGUCAACGUUCAUUGAAUUCUGUAGUCAAAAUUAGGAAUUACAUAUGAGUGAUGUAUAAAUUGUAUCUCAAUAAAACUGAACUAAAAAGACCUUUCUUCUUGAAAUGAUUUUAAAUUUUCCACCUCCUCCCACCUUGUUUUCUUAUAUUUCCAUUUGCACUUUUUAUUGUUUCCAUUUUACUUCAC
Heterocephalus glaber (naked mole-rat) is the source of this 2445-nucleotide long non-coding RNA. NCBI's taxonomy places the organism in Eukaryota, Metazoa, Chordata, Mammalia, Rodentia, Bathyergidae. The record is from Ensembl.